GAAAUGCGAUAACUAGUGUGAAUUGCAGAAUUCCGUGAAUCAUCGAGUCUUUGAACGCACAUUGCGCCCCCUGGUAUUCCGGGGGGCAUGCCUGUCCGAGCGUCAUUGCUGCCCAUCAAGCACGGCUUGUGUGUUGGGUCGUCGUCCCCUCUCCGGGGGGGACGGGCCCCAAAGGUAGCGGCGGCACCGCGUCCGAUCCUCGAGCGUAUGGGGCUUUGUCACCCGCUCUGUAGGCCCGGCCGGCGCUUGCCGAACGCAAAUCAAUCUUUUUCCAGGUUGACCUCGGAUCAGGUAGGGAUACCCGCUGAACUUAAGC
Molecule: unclassified non-coding RNA, 316 nt
Filed under: plant metagenome
Description: partial contains 5.8S ribosomal RNA, internal transcribed spacer 2, and large subunit ribosomal RNA
Rfam family: 5.8S ribosomal RNA (bases 1-105)
Source: RNAcentral